RNAcentral lists this long non-coding RNA (3311 nucleotides) under Marmota monax (woodchuck). Lineage: Eukaryota; Metazoa; Chordata; Mammalia; Rodentia; Sciuridae. The record is from RNAcentral.
CGGUUCGGGAAGCUGAGACAGUAGGAUCGCGAGUUCAAAGCCAGCCUCUCAGCAGUUUAGCGAGGCGCUAAGCAACUCAGUGAGACCCUGUCUCUAACUAAAAUACAAAAAAGGUCUGGGGAUGUGGCUCAGUGGUCAAGUGCCCCUGAGUUCAAUCCCCUUUACCCUGCUCAAAAAAAAAAAAGGAGGGGAGAGAGCUGUUAAGCAGUGAGAAUUGCAUCCUACUUUGGCCUUCAUAUCUACCUUGAACAAGCUUGGCCCCUUCUUGCCUCUUAUGUUUCUCACUUCCUCUGCUCUUUCUCUGUAACUUUGUACAACAAGCUUCUUGUUUUUCAGAUUUCAGUUCAAAGCUCACUACAUUGAAGGAGUCUUUCAUCCCCAUGAAUGUUGCCUCAAACAACACCAGCCCUGCGGGAAGCAUAUGAUUGGUCCUGUUUGGAUCUGAUGCUCUCCCCUAGACAAAUCAGGGGAAAAGGAUAAUGGAAUUAGCCAAGCCUAGGACUCCUAUCUGUCCCACAGGUGAAGACGGACUUCUGUGUUUGCCCCAUCACAAAUCUGUGAAAUAGGAAAAGGAGUUUCUACCAUAGGAAAGGAAUAUUAUGUUAUAUAUUCAGCACAUGAAAUAGCAGAAAGGAGGUUGUAUACGGUGGUGCAAGCCUGUAAUCCCACGGGCUCAGGAGGCUGAGGCAGGAAGAUUUCAAGUUCAAAGCCAGUCUCAGCAACUUAGCAAGGCCGUCUCAAAAUAAAACAAACAAACAACAACAAAAAAAAAAAAAAAAAAAAAACAACAGAAAGGAAAACUUUCUCUUGAGUUCAUCCUUGGACUUAAGCACUAGAUUCCAGGGUCCCUCACUUUAGCUACUCUUGCACCAAUAUCCUUAACUACCUUUCCUUACUAUCCUCAACUGCCUGGUUGACCUCGAUUCAGUCAAAAUGUCUAUCUUCCUUGCCCAGGCUGCUAACAAUGAGUGGGAAGAUUACAUUAAAGAGCCCUAAGAUAGUUUUAUGAUAUCUGCUUUCCAGAGGUCUUUGACUUACACCUAAAAAUAAUUUUUUGUUUCCCUACCACUUUGUCUACCAUUUUCCCCAGUUGCUGUUUUAAUCUUUUUCACUCUGCUCAAACCUUACUCUAAGUAAUGAUCCAAGAGAAAUCAAUUACCAUCAUGAUCAUUGCCAGCUAUGUUGUUCCAAAGGAAAAAUGCCCAGACUACAAAAACAUUCUGCCACAGAACCAAGAUAAUUGGUUCUACUGGCUUUUUUCCCUAACACACCUGCAUUAGUGAGCAUCUGCUUUAGGAGUCUAAAUCAGGGCUGGGCUGUAGCUCAGUGGCAGAGUGCUUGCCUAGCAUGAUGUAUGAGGCACUGGGUUCCAUCCUUAGCACCACAUAAAAAUCAAUUUAAAAAAAAUAAAGACAUUCUGUUCACCUAUAACUAAAAAAAAUGGUGGCAGCAUAAUGGAAUCACCUGAGAAUCUUUAAAAAUACCAAGGUUUGGUGCCUCCCAGGUAGAUUUUGUUAAAGUUGACCCAAAAUAUGAUCUGAGCAUGGGUUGGUUUGUUUUGUUUUGGACUUUGCAGACAACUAUAACAUACAACCAGCAAUGAAAAUCAAUGGCAUAGGUUAGUACUCAAAGUGUGAUUUCUGAACCAGCAGCAUUAGUAUCACCUGGGAACUUCUUAGAAAUGUAGAUUCUUGGGCUCUGCCCAUAGUUCUGAAUCAGGCACUCUUGGGUUAGAGCCCAGCAGUCUGUAUAACAAGCCCUUCAGGGUUUUCAGGCACACUAAAGUGUGAAUCAUUAACCAAGACAUUGACUUGCUUCACUUGAUCAGUCUUUGUAUGUUGGUUAGAAAGGAAAAGGAUAUGUUGUCUCCUUCUGAGUACUCCCCUGCCCACCAUCUGCUGUAUUACGCUAGUCAAUUUAGGAGCCAUCUGUAGCAAUAGGAUUCUACUGAGGGAAAGAGACCAGGGCAUAUGGUCCACAAAUGCUGUGCCCAUUUUCAGUGUGUAUGAAGAUAAGUAGGAGUGGGUGGGGGCUGAUAUUUGUUUAUUAACAGGAUCAGGACUUCCAUGGAUUUAGUUUAUAGUUAAGUAUUAGCAGUUUUGUUCUUUCUGAAAAAAAAAAGUGUAGGUAGGAAAUUUGACUACCCUUCUAAAUUAAUAGACAGGUACAUGACAGAUAAAACACAUACUGUUCUUUUGCAUUCUGUUCCCUCUGUCUGUAGAAGGUGUGGGAAGGAGAGCUAGAAGAACUGACAGUACUCCUUCCUUAUGCUAUAACCACAUCAUUUCCCAAAUUAGUUUGCAACUCUGAUUUAGGCCUAGUGCUGUUCAUAAUUGUAUUUUCAGUCACCUAUGGCCCAUAUUCCAAGAGGUACUAAACUAUUGUUAUCAGCAAUCAGUUCUCUUGGAUUUAACAGUAUUAUAAGUGUAAGCCACUGUUAAGAUUCUGGAAGAAAUGACCAAAAGGUUUGCACCUACCUUAUGAACCUUGGAAUCUUUCAAAAUCCCUUCUCCCACAGGCACAUAAUGCAGGACUGAGGAUGAACUAAUGUAAGGCACCAGCACACACAUAAAUAUAUAUAAUGUGUGUUGCUGGGUAUUGAACCCAGGACCUUGCACUCAGCUACUGAGUUACAUCCUUCUUAAGGGUCAUUCCUUGUUCUACCUCUUAAAGUCUCAUAAUGGGGAUUAAAUUUCAACAUGAAUUUGGGGGCAGCAAACUAUAUUCAAAUCCUGGCAACAUUUUAAAUGAGUAUAUUUGAGGGCUGGGAUUGUGGCUCAGCGGUAGAAUGCUCGCCUAGCAUGUGCAAGGCCCUGGGUUCAAUCCUCAGCACCACAUAUAAAUAAAGGAAUUAUGUGCAACUACAACUAAAAAGUAAAUAUUUUUAAAAAGAGUAUAUUUGUUAAUGAGCCAAUAUUGAUAUUUGAUAUUAACUAAAGUCUACACCUCUCAGAUUUCCUUAGUUUUUACCUAAUGUCUUUUUUCUGUUCCAGGAUCCCAUUCAGAAUACUACAUUAUACUUUUGUCUCUUUAGGUUUUUUUCUUGGAUUUUCCUUGACAUAAUAGUACAUUUUAAAAUGACAACAAAUCCACCUCACCAUAGGUGAUUCAGAAGUAGAUGAAAACAACUGCCACAUUCUCAUGAAACUCACAAAGCAGAUGGCAUUUGUUUAUUGAUUUUUAUAGUGAAUACUGUGAAUCAUUUACAGUUUUCUCACAUGCUUUCAGAUGUGACUCUUAAAUUUUGUCUGGGGCUGAGGGUGUAGCUGGGUAAUAGAGUACUUGCCCAGUAGGUACUCUCUCUAACAUAA